Molecule: RNA transcript, 3702 nt
Organism: Neofelis nebulosa (Clouded leopard)
Lineage: Eukaryota; Metazoa; Chordata; Mammalia; Carnivora; Felidae
Gene: GPR65
Gene name: G protein-coupled receptor 65
Exons: 6
Source: RefSeq, a predicted model, not a curated record
AUGAAAAUUAUACUACCAUAAGUAAGAAACAAAAACAGCUUUUAAACUAUUUAGGAGACUGUCUUUGGUCAAACUUGAAUAAUGAACAUCCUUCUUACUAAGAUGCUGCUUCCUCAUUGUUUUAUGUUGAAACACAAGUGUAAUUUCCUGUCCCUUCACAGUGUUGUUUCUCAUCUCGGUGCAAGCAGAUUUAUCUGGCUCCUCGGUCGACAAAAUCAUCUCCUCAAGAAACAUGGGAUCCAGGGUCUGCUGGAGGAGACCCACUUUCUGUUGUUAUCAUGUCCUGCAGAUGAGUAGAGGUGCGGAGUGAGGAAAAGGAGAAGAGGAAUCAUGCCUUGAUGCAUUGUGCCUCCAGACAACCUCCACCACACCACUGUGUACACUCAGUACCUGAAGGUUAAGCCUGGGGUUUUCACCAGCCUGAAAUGGCAGUGAUCACAAAGAGGAAGAUAGGACACCGGCUCAAUAUCACCGGCAUUGACAGGGCUGGAUGCUACUCCUCCCCAGCUCGCCCUUCGCCAGAGGAGAAACCCCACGAUAGCUGGAAUCAUCACCGGCCAUGCGGCCUGCAGAUCCACCACUGGUAGCCCCCCAGUGGACCCUCCUACAGAGGUAUUUCAACUCACAUAAGGCAUCACACUGACCCUUUGAGGCCAAGGUUGGAGCAGAACAACACCCGAUGUUCGUGUGAACUAUUCCUAACAGAUGGGCCAGUUGGAGAGAUCAAAAUGCUGGACACAAUUUUAGCAACAUGGAACCUUGAGGUAAAUGAAGGGUCACGGUUACCUCCACCCCAAGCAGAAUGACCACAGAUAUGGGCUGUGGUAGGCAGAAUUCUAAAGAUCACGCAAAUAUAUUAGCGUCCUGAGUACUCAUUCAAACACCGUUAUAGGUCCUGCCUUGAAGGCAUUUUACAGGUGUAAUUAAAACAUCAAGCACCAAGUUGGCGAACCUUUAAGACAGAAACCCAGCGAGUCAUGUGAGCCCUUUACAAGCAGAAUUUUUCUCCAGCUGGGAACCGAAGUCAGGGACUUGAAGCACGGGAAGUAUUCCAUCAAGCAUCACUGCUGGCCUGAAAAUGGAGGGGGACACAACAAGGGAGGCCGGGGCUUGCAGAAGUGGCCAGCAGCCCCUUGCCGGCAGCUAGCAAGUGAACAGGGACCUCGGUUCGGCUGCUGGAAGACACUGGAUUCUGCUAACGACAGGAAUGAGCUUGAGAGAGCACUCCGUGCUCCAGGUGAGAACACAGCCAAACACCAGCUUCAUUUGAGCUGGAACCCAGCCAUCCGUGCCGGAAUUCUGACCUACAGCACUGAGAGCGGAUAAAUGGGUGCUUGCUUUAUCAGCUUUAUUGACACAUGCCUCACUAUAAAAUUCACCAUUUUGAAGUGUACAAUUCAAGAGUUUUCAGUAGACAAAGAGAUGGGCAGCCGGAGCACUGUCUCAUUUCAGAAUAUUUGUCUCACUCAAAAAAGAAAUUCUGUACCCAUUAGCAGUCCUCUCCAUCCUUCUGGUCCCUGGAAACCACUGAUGUACUGUCUGUUUCCAUGAAUUUGUCUUUUCUGGCUAUUUCCUAUCUUUCUUUUUUCUUUAUGCUUCAACAGACCCUCCACUCCAAUCCAGGAAGAGAAAGCCUUAGACAUGGACACCGAGGCUCAGAGAGGCUAAACGACCUACUUGACCUUUCCCAGGUCUGUCCAGAGACAUGCUCGUAAGUGUUUAACAACUGGCUCUCCAAAAAAAAAGAAAAAGAGAAUUGUGUGGGAUAGUCUCCGAAGCACAUAAUCAAAAGAGCUGAAAUUCUGCCUCUGUAUGGACUUAUGAUUCCUGGUGGUUAAGGACCACCCAAAAGAAAAAUUUCUGAAGUUCUCCAAACGUAAACCUCUGCAUAUGUCCCUACUUAUCACUACUCUGAUUGAAGUGACAUCAAGGCAUACUGUAUACCUCAGCCAUGGGCUAGUGGGAACAGAAAAGAAGCAAGCACUGUGAAAUGAAAGGAACUGAUUGUGUUGUAGCAAUCAAGAGACCUCUAACAAGAGAAGAGAAGCCACAGCCAGCAGCUAAGACACAGCCCCUAGAGGAACAUAAUGAACACAGGGAAGAUUUCAACCGGCAUUAAAUCCUGCUGGGAAAAAGCUCCCAGGAAGUAUGACAAUUGACAUUCAGAAAGCCAGCAGGACAGUGAAUCCAGGUGGUCUCCUGUUUGAAGGGGACUGCCCCAGUGAGUGUCUGAGGACAUGCCAAUCGUUGUCUACCCUCCCAGAAGAAUUAAAAUAUCUGAGAAAAUUAUUAGCUGGCCAAGCAAGCCUCAGGGUCAGGGCAAGAUUUUGAUCCCAGCAAGGAGAUGUGGGGAGCUCAUCAUGAGUCCAGGAUGGUGUCUGUCUUCGGUGACCUUUGCCCUGGUUUGUUGGCCAUUUGAGAUAUCCCUAUUCACAAGACCUCACUAAAGGCCAUGUGUUUUGACUUCCCUCUCAUUCUUGGUUGUCUAAAACAAGAGUAACAGCCCUAACUCCCUGCCUUUAAAAGUAAAGGAGAUGUAUUAAUUUGGGCCAAACAAGAGACAUUUGCUGUAGGAAUUUUCAUCAUCGGAUAAAGUCAAAUAUAGGGAUGAGUUGGCCAAUCCUGUCUCUUAGAACCAAGGUUGAGUUUUCUGAAGAACAAGAAAAAAAAACAACUGAAUCCUCAAUCAAGAAAUUCCAAUUACAAAAAAAUGGAAGUUUCAUCUUAUGGUUCCUACAAAACCAGGGACUUCUCAUCAAGAUGCCCAAUGACCUUCAUCCACUGUCUUUACUGGGCACACAUUGCUAUGGUUCUUCCAAAUGCUAAGUUUUUCUGUUUUGGGGAUUCAGGAGAAUAUUUCCCAUGCUUUUCCCAUACCAUCAAAAAAAAGUUUAACUCAAUCUAAGAGCAAUUUAAAAUAUUGUGUUAGUAAUGAGAAAUCUGACUAGCUCUAGAAGAAAAAAUAUAAAAUCAACAUAAGCCCGAUUUUAGGGGUCGAAUUUGAAAUUAAUGCAAACAAACAAACCAAAAAAAACCAAAAAACAAAAAAAACAACCCUUUUAAACUAGAAGUUGGGUAUUAGAAGCUGGCUUCUUUCAAAAAAAAAAAGACAACUUAAGCUCUAACGUCUUCUGUGUAAUAGCGCCCUCUGGCUUUAGAUUACUUAACAACGUAUUUGGCUUUGAGCCUCAGGUUUUGUUGAAAGUCCAUGACUGUGCUGGAAAGACAACCCAGGAUUCCUCACAUCUGAAACCCUGCUCAUCUGUUUCUCCUGCAUCUGCCUUCGCAAAGAGGAAGUAUGACUCAAGCAAUGCUUCGUCUUCUGUGUAAGAAAGGACUGUCAAAGAACAGUGCCAAUAAGUCCUUGGGGAUCUUAGCAAUGCCUUACUAUUCUUUGGAAAGUACUCUCUUGAGACUUUAACAUGGAGCUGCCAGCAUACACCAAGGAAAAUGGUCUUCAGGUUGAGAUAUGGCCAACUAGAACAAAUUGUGGGAAAGGAAGAGACCCAUCCAAGACCAUUAGCAUAAAUGAUUAUUGAUCUGUCAUUCAUGAAGGAAGCUGUUGAGGCUUCCUUAUUUCUUGUUUGUGCUUAAUUUUAAGACUCCUAAAGUGACCUCUAAAAAGAAAGAAAAUAUUCUUGGUCAAAUGAAACAAAACCUUGCUUGUUUUCGAGUCUUAAUAUGAAUACAGAUAAUCAAAGA